RNAcentral lists this ribosomal RNA (208 nucleotides) under uncultured bacterium. Its description in RNAcentral is "partial 16S ribosomal RNA". It matches the Rfam family "Bacterial small subunit ribosomal RNA", at positions 568 to 774 of the family's 1533-position model. The record is from RNAcentral.
CUCGUAGGCGGCCAACUAAGUCAGACGUGAAAUCCCUCGGCUUAACCGGGGAACUGCGUCUGAUACUGGAUGGCUUGAGUUUGGGAGAGGGAUGCGGAAUUCCAGGUGUAGCGGUGAAAUGCGUAGAUAUCUGGGGGAACGACCGGUGGCGAAGGCGGCAUCCUGGACCAACACUGACGCUGAGUGAGCGAAAGCCAGGGAGCAAACG